AUAAGUCAGUGGUGAAAUACUGCAGCUUAACUGUAGAACUGCCAUUGAUACUGUUGUUCUUGAGUGCGAUUGAGGUAGGCGGAAUGUGUAAUGUAGCGGUGAAAUGCUUAGAUAUUACACAGAACACCGAUUGCGUAGGCAGCUUACUAAGUCGUAACUGACGCUGAGGCACGAAAGCGUGGGGAUCGAACAGGAUUAGAUACCCUGGUA
RNAcentral lists this ribosomal RNA (210 nucleotides) under uncultured Bacteroidota bacterium. RNAcentral's name for it is "uncultured Bacteroidetes bacterium partial 16S ribosomal RNA". It matches the Rfam family "Bacterial small subunit ribosomal RNA", at positions 583 to 792 of the family's 1533-position model. Lineage: Bacteria; Pseudomonadati; Bacteroidota. The record is from RNAcentral.